Molecule: ribosomal RNA, 315 nt
Filed under: uncultured eukaryote
Lineage: Eukaryota
Description: partial 18S ribosomal RNA
Rfam family: Eukaryotic small subunit ribosomal RNA
Source: RNAcentral
CCCUUAGAUGUCCUGGGCCGCACGCGCGCUACACUGAUGCAUGCAACGAGUUUAUAACCUUGGCCUGAAAGGUCUGGGUAAUCUUUUGAACGUGCAUCGUGAUAGGGAUAGAUUAUUGCAAUUGUUAAUCUUGAACGAGGAAUUCCUAGUAAACGCGAGUCAUCAGCUCGCAUUGAUUACGUCCCUGCCCUUUGUACACACCGCCCGUCGCUCCUACCGAUGAGUCGUCCGGUGAAGUUCGUAGACCUCGUGAUCGCGGAUCACUGGGGGAAGCAAAAUGAACCUCGCGGUUUAGAGGAAGGAGAAGUCGUAACA